GGUUAACGCUGGCGGCGUGCCUUACACAUGCAAGUCGAACGGGGCAUACAGCGAUGUAUGCUUAGUGGCGAACGGGUGAGUAACACGUGGGUAACCUGCCCAUAAGAGGGGGAUAACAUCCGGAAACGGGUGCUAAUACCGCAUAGGUUUCUUGGUCGCAUGAUCGAGAAAGGAAAGACGGCCUUUGUGCUGUCGCUUAUGAAUGGACCCGCGGCGUAUUAGUUAGUUGGUGAGGUAAUGGCUCACCAAGACGAUGAUACGUAGCCGACCUGAGAGGGUGAUCGGCCACAUUGGGACUGAGACACGGCCCAGACUCCUACGGGA
Molecule: ribosomal RNA, 324 nt
Filed under: uncultured bacterium
Lineage: Bacteria
Description: bacterial SSU rRNA
Rfam family: Bacterial small subunit ribosomal RNA
Source: RNAcentral